CUAGAGAGACUGCCAGGGAUAACCUGGAGGAAGGUGGGGAUGACGUCAAAUCAUCAUGCCCCUUAUGCUUAGGGCUACACACGUGCUACAAUGGGUAGUACAGAGGGUUGCCAAGCCGUAAGGUGGAGCUAAUCCCUUAAAGCUACUCUCAGUUCGGAUUGUAGGCUGAAACUCGCCUACAUGAAGCUGGAGUUACUAGUAAUCGCAGAUCAGAAUGCUGCGGUGAAUGCGUUCCCGGGUCUUGUACACACCGCCCGUCACACCACGGGAGUUGGAGACGCCCGAAGCCGAUUAUCUAACCUUUUGGAAGAAGUCGUCGAAGGUGGAAUCAAUAACUGGGGUGAAGUCGUAACAAGGUAGCCGUAUCGGAAGGGGCGGCUGGAUCACCUCCUUUCUAAGGAGA
RNAcentral lists this ribosomal RNA (403 nucleotides) under Clostridioides difficile. RNAcentral describes it as "bacterial SSU rRNA". It matches the Rfam family "Bacterial small subunit ribosomal RNA", at positions 1140 to 1533 of the family's 1533-position model. Lineage: Bacteria; Bacillati; Bacillota; Clostridia; Peptostreptococcales; Peptostreptococcaceae. The record is from RNAcentral.